Long non-coding RNA from Notolabrus celidotus (New Zealand spotty), 506 nucleotides. RefSeq lists it as uncharacterized. The transcript has 3 exons. The record is from RefSeq and is a predicted model, not a curated record. NCBI's taxonomy places the organism in Eukaryota, Metazoa, Chordata, Actinopteri, Labriformes, Labridae.
CUGUCACACACAGACACACACUCCUCCUGGCUGUUUCCUCUGCCCUGCGCUGGAAAAACUCUGGAAACUGUCCACAGGCGAAAAAAUGAAAUUGUAAUUCUGGAAAUCAAUACCAGCUCAGUCUCUGGGGCUGCUCGCCCGGAGCAAUGGGAAUCCUGGAAUAUAAACCUGAAACAGCAAUUUAAAGCAGCUGCAGCCCAUUGAAGCCAGCAGGGUGCAGCUGAUUGACACAUAGAAACAUACUGUCUGCAGGAAAAAGAAGCCCUGAACAUGGAGAAUCAGCUCAUGACCCUGCAUUCAAGGUGCCAGUGUACAUUGUUGACAAAUUUCUAACAUGUCAGGAAUUGAUCAAACCAGUAGGGAGCAUCUAAGUGGGCUGUGAUCAUAUCCCUGAUGCCUCCUGUAUGGCACAUGACAUGCUGAGAUCUAGAGGAAGUGUGUUUCAUUCUUUUUAUGGAGAGCAGAGUCAAACUAAUAAUAUGUGAACACUCACCUGGCCAAUAAAA